This 510-nucleotide ribosomal RNA is filed under the name uncultured bacterium. RNAcentral describes it as "partial 16S ribosomal RNA". It matches the Rfam family "Bacterial small subunit ribosomal RNA", at positions 28 to 505 of the family's 1533-position model. The record is from RNAcentral.
GAUGAACGCUGGCGGCGUGCCUAAUACAUGCAAGUCGAACGAAACUUCUUUAUCACCGAGUGCUUGCACUCACCGAUAAAGAGUUGAGUGGCGAACGGGUGAGUAACACGUGGGCAACCUGCCCAAAAGAGGGGGAUAACACUUGGAAACAGGUGCUAAUACCGCAUAACCAUAGUUACCGCAUGGUAACUAUGUAAAAGGUGGCUAUACUACCGCUUUUGGAUGGGCCCGCGGCGCAUUAGCUAGUUGGUAGGGUAAAGGCUUACCAAGGCAAUGAUGCGUAGCCGAAUUGAGAGGUUGAUCGGCCACAUUGGGACUGAGACACGGCCCAAACUCCUACGGGAGGCAGCAGUAGGGAAUCUUCCACAAUGGGCGAAAGCCUGAUGGAGCAACGCCGCGUGGGUGAAGAAGGUCUUCGGAUCGUAAAACCCUGUUGUUAGAGAAGAAAGUGCGUGAGAGUAACUGUUCACGUUUCGACGGUAUCUAACCGGAAAGCCACGGCUAACUACG